Molecule: ribosomal RNA, 224 nt
Filed under: uncultured bacterium
Lineage: Bacteria
Description: partial 16S ribosomal RNA
Rfam family: Bacterial small subunit ribosomal RNA
Source: RNAcentral
AAAGAGCGUCCCAGUUCGGAUUGUAGUCUGCAACUCGACUACAUGAAGCCGGAAUCGCUAGUAAUCGCGGAUCAGAAUGCCGCGGUGAGUACGUUCCCGGGGUCUUGUACACACCGCCCGUCACACCAUGGGAGCCGGAAAUGCCCGAAGUCAGUGACCCAACCGCGAGGAGGGAGCUGCCGAAGGCAGGUCUGGUAACUGGGGUGAAGUCGUAACAAGGUAUC